GACGAACGCUGGCGGCGUGCUUAACACAUGCAAGUCGAACGGAAAGGCCCAGCUUGCUGGGUGCUCGAGUGGCGAACGGGUGAGUAACACGUGGGUGAUCUGCCCCUAACUUCGGGAUAAGCUUGGGAAACUGGGUCUAAUACCGGAUAGGACAAUCGUUUAGUGUCGGUUGUGGAAAGUUUUUUCGGUUAGGGAUGAGCCCGCGGCCUAUCAGCUUGUUGGUGGGGUAAUGGCCUACCAAGGCGUCGACGGGUAGCCGGCCUGAGAGGGUGGACGGCCACAUUGGGACUGAGAUACGGCCCAGACUCCUACGGGAGGCAGCAGUGGGGAAUAUUGCACAAUGGGCGCAAGCCUGAUGCAGCGACGCCGCGUGGGGGAUGACGGCCUUCGGGUUGUAAACCUCUUUCGACAGGGACGAAGCUUCGGUGACGGUACCUGUAUAAGAAGCACCGGCUAACUACGUG
RNAcentral lists this ribosomal RNA (464 nucleotides) under uncultured bacterium. Its description in RNAcentral is "partial 16S ribosomal RNA". It matches the Rfam family "Bacterial small subunit ribosomal RNA", at positions 28 to 507 of the family's 1533-position model. The record is from RNAcentral.